Molecule: ribosomal RNA, 253 nt
Filed under: uncultured bacterium
Lineage: Bacteria
Description: partial 16S ribosomal RNA
Rfam family: Bacterial small subunit ribosomal RNA
Source: RNAcentral
UACGGAGGGAGCUAGCGUUGUUCGGAAUUACUGGGCGUAAAGCGCGCGUAGGCGGCUUUGUAAGUUAGAGGUGAAAGCCCGGGGCUCAACUCCGGAAUUGCCUUUAAGACUGCAUCGCUUGAAUCCGGGAGAGGUGAGUGGAAUUCCGAGUGUAGAGGUGAAAUUCGUAGAUAUUGGGAAGAACACCGGUGGCGAAGGCGGCGACCUGGUUCAUUACUGACGCUGAGGCGCGAAAGCGUGGGGAGCAAACAGG